UCCAUUGUGAGGUGGAAUCUGAAGGAAGCUGUCGGCAAAUCUCCGGUCCGACGGACAAAAAUCACAUAUGAGGCUAGGCUAUGAGAGAUAAGUUGGCUGAAAGUAACGAAGUCUAAUAACUAUCCUCAUCGGGAAGCGUUCAAAAAAACUCCGUCUCAUCCGCAUGACUCGAUCGCGGAUGAGACGGAGAUUUUGUU
Molecule: non-coding RNA, 197 nt
Organism: Clostridiales bacterium 41_12_two_minus
Lineage: Bacteria; Bacillati; Bacillota; Clostridia; Eubacteriales
Source: Rfam